AGUACAACAGCCGCAUUACUAGUGCUUUUAUGUUUUGCCUUGAUAUAGACGUCACCACUGCGAGAGCUACAGAAAACACAAGUGCGAGCUGAAUUAAGCAGUGCGACACGACACACCACUCUCCGAAACGUAAGUAUAAAUAGAAUGCUUGCGACGAGCAAGUUUGUUCGCGCUGAGUUCGAAGUUCCGGAGAGCGAAUUCACAGCGAAAAACAAAAUGUGGUGCUCCUUGAUGUGCGGCGUGGUUAUGCUGUUGCUAGACAUUCAUGUGCGUCUGACGGCGGCUUACGAAAACUCGCACCAGUUUCCCGUGGAACUUCCGGACUUUGGAACUGUCGACGAAAAGCCAAGGCCAACGCAUCAGAAAAAAGUUGGCGAUCCUUGUUUGAACAGCGACGAAUGCCGGAAAAAAUUGUGCUGUGUGCGUCGCAAUGGUGGAAGAUCAUGUCGGCGGCGGGCGAAGUACUGCAAACGGUGCAGGGAAGAUCAAAUGAAGGGAGGGUACUACCAGGAAUAUUGCCCUUGUCUGGAAGGUCAAGGCGAAUGCCACAUGGUCCCCAAGAAAAACUAUGGGAGGUGCUAUUAAUAGCUCUCGCUGAUGUGAUCAUUAUCUCCCAGCAUAUGUUUCUACGUCGAUUCAUCACGCCAUUAGCCACGACUCAGGUGAAAUAAAAGAACUGCUUGUA
This is a non-coding RNA of Dermacentor andersoni, 685 nucleotides long. NCBI's taxonomy places the organism in Eukaryota, Metazoa, Arthropoda, Arachnida, Ixodida, Ixodidae. The record is from RefSeq and is a predicted model, not a curated record.